UCAUGUGGUACUCUUCUCAAGAGGGAGGCAAUCAUGUGUAAUUAGAUAUGAUUGACACCUCUUUGAGUGGAGUAACACAUGA
Nomascus leucogenys (northern white-cheeked gibbon) is the source of this 82-nucleotide microRNA precursor. NCBI's taxonomy places the organism in Eukaryota, Metazoa, Chordata, Mammalia, Primates, Hylobatidae. The record is from Rfam.